GAUGAACGCUGGUGGCGUGCCUAACACAUGCAAGUCGAGCGAUUCACUUCGGUGAAGAGCGGCGGACGGGUGAGUAACGCGUGGGUAACCUGCCUCAUACACAUGGAUAACAUACCGAAAGGUAUGCUAAUACAGGAUAACAUAAGAGAUUCGCAUGUUUCUCUUAUCAAAGCUCCGGCGGUAUGAGAUGGACCCGCGUCUGAUUAGCUAGUUGGUAAGGUAAUGGCUUACCAAGGCGACGAUCAGUAGCCGACCUGAGAGGGUGAUCGGCCACAUUGGAACUGAGACACGGUCCAAACUCCUACGGGAGGCAGCAGUGGGGAAUAUUGCACAAUGGGCGAAAGCCU
This 347-nucleotide ribosomal RNA is filed under the name uncultured bacterium. RNAcentral's name for it is "bacterial SSU rRNA". It matches the Rfam family "Bacterial small subunit ribosomal RNA", at positions 28 to 384 of the family's 1533-position model. The record is from RNAcentral.